CCUCUGUGCCGAGCCUUCUCGCACCAAGCUCGCCCGACGCCGGCCCUAACCGCCGCACGAGGUGGUUUUCUCCCCCCCCCCCCUCCGUGUACAAACCCUCGGCCAAGCCUCGUCUCUGCCGACUCUUUCUUUUCCCCCUUCUUCCCUACUCCUCUGCCCGUCGCCCUCGCUGUGGAGACUGCCACAGCCGACGCUCCCCUUUCCCCAAGUGUCGGCGACGAUCUGCCAUCGCUAACCUACAUCGCCAGCGACGCCGAGCACCCCUACACCACGUCGCUGCCGCACGGAGGUGCCGUCGGCAUCCCCUGUGCCCUAGCACCAGCAGAUGGUCGCUCUCUCUCUGCUGCGAUUUGGCAGCACCACUGACACCCGAUUUCAUCUUCCUCCUCAGCCCUAGGGUCGGCUACUACCUCUUUUGCCCUAGCCGACACCACCACUGAUCGCUGGAGGGGGGAAAGGUUAUCCGGACUUCAAGGUUUCUGCCGAGCCCUAGCUUGGUCUUCACUGCCGUGCCCUAGGUUUCCCCCUUUCAUGUGAGUGAGGUUUGGUAUCAAUGGGAUUAAGCUGUUGUUGGAGCUGAGGAAUCCGAUCAUUAUUCAUACACUUAGGUUGAUGCUGUCCAGAGAGUUCCAGUUGCUAGUCCCCAUGCAAUCCACGAGGAUGGUUAUUUGUCUUUUGGUGUUCUUUUCUAGACUAUGUUUGGACUUGUUCCAUUUUGGAUACUUUGGAUCUUGUAUGGAUUGUUUUACUUGUGGAUGACUUUUAUUUGGAUUUGUUUUUACUA
Molecule: long non-coding RNA, 784 nt
Organism: Zingiber officinale
Lineage: Eukaryota; Viridiplantae; Streptophyta; Magnoliopsida; Zingiberales; Zingiberaceae
Exons: 3
Source: RefSeq, a predicted model, not a curated record